UACGUAGGGUGCGAGCGUUGUCCGGAAUUACUGGGCGUAAAGAGCUUGUAGGUGGUUUGUCGCGUUGUUCGUGAAAUCUCACGGCUCAACUGUGAGCGUGCGGGCGAUACGGGCAGACUAGAGUACUGCAGGGGAGACUGGAAUUCCUGGUGUAGCGGUGGAAUGCGCAGAUAUCAGGAGGAACACCGGUGGCGAAGGCGGGACUCUGGGCCGAUACUGACGCUGAGGAGCGAAAGCGUGGGGAGCAAACAGG
This 253-nucleotide ribosomal RNA is filed under the name uncultured bacterium. RNAcentral describes it as "partial 16S ribosomal RNA". It matches the Rfam family "Bacterial small subunit ribosomal RNA", at positions 524 to 776 of the family's 1533-position model. The record is from RNAcentral.